CUGUAAGCCUGCGAAGGUGGCCUGUGAGGGUUGCUGGAGGUAUCAGAAGUGCGAAUGCUGACAUAAGUAACGAUAAAGCGGGUGAAAAGCCCGCUCGCCGGAAGACCAAGGGUUCCUGUCCAACGUUAAUCGGGGCAGGGUGAGUCGACCCCUAAGGCGAGGCCGAAAGGCGUAGUCGAUGGGAAACGGGUUAAUAUUCCCGUACUUGGUGUUACUGCGAAGGGGGGACGGAGAAGGCUAUGUUGGCCGGGCGACGGUUGUCCCGGUUUAAGCGUGUAGGUGUGUGUUCCAGGUAAAUCCGGUUCACUUUAACACUGAGGCGUGACGACGAGGCACUACGGUGCUGAAGCAACAAAUGCCCUGCUUCCAGGAAAAGCCUCUAAGCAUCAGGUAACAUCAAAUCGUACCCCAAACCGACACAGGUGGUCAGGUAGAGAAUACCAAGGCGCUUGAGAGAACUCGGGUGAAGGAACUAGGCAAAAUGGUGCCGUAACUUCGGGAGAAGGCACGCUGACACGUAGGUGAAGUGAUUUACUCAUGGAGCUGAAGUCAGUCGAAGAUACCAGCUGGCUGCAACUGUUUAUUAAAAACACAGCACUGUGCAAACACGAAAGUGGACGUAUACGGUGUGACGCCUGCCCGGUGCCGGAAGGUUAAUUGAUGGGGUCAGCGCAAGCGAAGCUCCUGAUCGAAGCCCCGGUAAACGGCGGCCGUAACUAUAACGGUCCUAAGGUAGCGAAAUUCCUUGUCGGGUAAGUUCCGACCUGCACGAAUGGCGUAAUGAUGGCCAGGCUGUCUCCACCCGAGACUCAGUGAAAUUGAACUCGCUGUGAAGAUGCAGUGUACCCGCGGCAAGACGGAAAGACCCCGUGAACCUUUACUAUAGCUUGACACUGAACAUUGAGCCUUGAUGUGUAGGAUAGGUGGGAGGCUUUGAAGUGUGGACGCCAGUCUGCAUGGAGCCGACCUUGAAAUACCACCCUUUAAUGUUUGAUGUUCUAACGUGGACCCGUUACCCGGGUUGCGGACAGUGUCUGGUGGGUAGUUUGACUGGGGCGGUCUCCUCCUAAAGAGUAACGGAGGAGCACGAAGGUUGGCUAAUCCUGGUCGGACAUCAGGAGGUUAGUGCAAUGGCAUAAGCCAGCUUGACUGCGAGCGUGACGGCGCGAGCAGGUGCGAAAGCAGGUCAUAGUGAUCCGGUGGUUCUGAAUGGAAGGGCCAUCGCUCAACGGAUAAAAGGUACUCCGGGGAUAACAGGCUGAUACCGCCCAAGAGUUCAUAUCGACGGCGGUGUUUGGCACCUCGAUGUCGGCUCAUCACAUCCUGGGGCUGAAGUAGGUCCCAAGGGUAUGGCUGUUCGCCAUUUAAAGUGGUACGCGAGCUGGGUUUAGAACGUCGUGAGACAGUUCGGUCCCUAUCUGCCGUGGGCGCUGGAGAACUGAGGGGGGCUGCUCCUAGUACGAGAGGACCGGAGUGGACGCAUCACUGGUGUUCGGGUUGUCAUGCCAAUGGCACUGCCCGGUAGCUAAAUGCGGAAGAGAUAAGUGCUGAAAGCAUCUAAGCACGAAACUUGCCCCGAG
RNAcentral lists this ribosomal RNA (1580 nucleotides) under Salmonella enterica subsp. enterica serovar Thompson. Its description in RNAcentral is "partial 23S ribosomal RNA". It matches the Rfam family "Bacterial large subunit ribosomal RNA", at positions 1241 to 2803 of the family's 2925-position model. RNAcentral also lists the same sequence under 3 other names. Lineage: Bacteria; Pseudomonadati; Pseudomonadota; Gammaproteobacteria; Enterobacterales; Enterobacteriaceae. The record is from RNAcentral.